GCCUGGCUGGCUCAGUCGGAAGAGCAUGGGACUCUUAAUCCCAGGGUUGGGGUUUCAGUCCCCUGUUGGGUG
RNAcentral lists this transfer RNA (72 nucleotides) under Mesocricetus auratus (golden hamster). It matches the Rfam family "tRNA". From Rfam's summary of the family: Transfer RNA (tRNA) molecules are approximately 80 nucleotides in length. Lineage: Eukaryota; Metazoa; Chordata; Mammalia; Rodentia; Cricetidae. The record is from Rfam by way of RNAcentral.